This 843-nucleotide ribosomal RNA is filed under the name Triticum aestivum (bread wheat). Its description in RNAcentral is "partial small subunit ribosomal RNA". The record is from RNAcentral. Lineage: Eukaryota; Viridiplantae; Streptophyta; Magnoliopsida; Poales; Poaceae.
AUGGGUGACCCAGGCGGAGAACCGCAGCUGAUUGCCCCCAGCGGUACCCUGCCCGAGGGGGAAAAAGCCAUGAUUGAUGGAUAUCAUCGUUAUGGAUGCAGCUACCCUGAUCUUACUGUCCGUGAAGUUGGAUCAACCAUGAGAACUUCAAAUGAAUGCAAUGCAAUUCCCAGAUAUCAUCAUUAUGGAUGCAGCUACCCUCUUCUUACUGGCUGGGAAGCUGAAUUAACCAUGAGAACUUCAAAUGAAAGCAAUGCAAUUCCCAGGGCAUCUCCCCCGCAGCAACAUAGUUUGAAACAUUGGUGUCAUUUGGGCUUUCGGAAUUUCAGUUUCGCAGCUUUUAUUGGCAUUAUCGCUACCAUCUUUUCAUGGAUGUGCCCAUUAAUUCCUCCAUACGGAAAUCAAAUCUCCAACUCCACUGGAACGUGCGGCGUAUCACCUAGUCUAAGCAAAACACCUACAGGCAAGCAGAGAUACUAUGCCGACUCGGCAUCAACUAUUCACGCCACUGGUAAUCGGAGUCUCAUCUCCAACCUGACAACCGAGAAGGCGGGGGCCCUGAUUAUGACGGCCAAUGUGCACUCUCCUCUUCGAUCACACGGAUGUGGACAUGUAAGCUCUGACGACAUCGUGUUGCCGGAAGUUCACUACGUCCCAGGUUUGGGCAUCAACGUUGUGUCCGUUUCCAAACUUGCAGAGCUGGACUACAUGUUGAUGUUCGUGCACAAAGGAUGCUCCAUCUUUGACACCAGAAGCAAUGAUCUAGUUGGCAAAGGCCGAGCCGUCUCAGGCCUUUUCGAGCUCGAUUAUCUCAGGGUCCCUCUUGACCGGGCACAGGCCUGA